RNAcentral lists this ribosomal RNA (253 nucleotides) under uncultured bacterium. RNAcentral's name for it is "partial 16S ribosomal RNA". It matches the Rfam family "Bacterial small subunit ribosomal RNA", at positions 524 to 776 of the family's 1533-position model. The record is from RNAcentral.
UACGUAGGGGGCAAGCGUUGUCCGGAAUCAUUGGGCGUAAAGCGCGUGUAGGCGGCCCGGUAAGUCCGCUGUGAAAGUCCAGGGCUCAACCCUGGGAUGCCGGUGGAUACUGUCGGGCUCGAGUCCGGAAGAGGAGUGUGGAAUUCCUGGUGUAGCGGUGAAAUGCGCAGAUAUCAGGAGGAACACCAAUGGCGAAGGCAGCACUCUGGGACGUGACUGACGCUGAGGCACGAAAGCGUGGGGAGCAAACAGG